RNAcentral lists this ribosomal RNA (373 nucleotides) under uncultured organism. Its description in RNAcentral is "bacterial SSU rRNA". It matches the Rfam family "Bacterial small subunit ribosomal RNA", at positions 526 to 896 of the family's 1533-position model. The record is from RNAcentral.
CAGAGGGGGCAAGCGUUAUUCGGAAUUAUUGGGCGUAAAGGGCGCGUAGGCGGCUUUGCAAGUGACGGGUGAAAUCCCUCGGCUUAACCGAGGAACUGCCUGUCAAACUGCAUGGCUUGAGACCGGGGAGAGGUGAGUGGAAUUCCCAGUGUAGCGGUGAAAUGCGUAGAUAUUGGGAGGAACACCAGUGGCGAAGGCGGCUCACUGGACCGGUACUGACGCUGAUGCGCGAAAGCGUGGGGAGCAAACAGGAUUAGAUACCCUGGUAGUCCACGCCGUAAACGAUGAGUGCUUGGUGUAGCGGGUAUCUACCCCUGCUGUGCCGAAGUCAACACAUUAAGCACUCCGCCUGGGGAGUACGGUCGCAAGGCUG